RNAcentral lists this ribosomal RNA (548 nucleotides) under uncultured bacterium. RNAcentral describes it as "bacterial SSU rRNA". It matches the Rfam family "Bacterial small subunit ribosomal RNA", at positions 355 to 896 of the family's 1533-position model. The record is from RNAcentral.
UGGGGAAUUUUGGACAAUGGGCGCAAGCCUGAUCCAGCCAUGCCGCGUGCGGGAAGAAGGCCUUCGGGUUGUAAACCGCUUUUGUCAGGGAAGAAAUCUUCUGGGUUAAUACCUCGGGAGGAUGACGGUACCUGAAGAAUAAGCACCGGCUAACUACGUGCCAGCAGCCGCGGUAAUACGUAGGGUGCAAGCGUUAAUCGGAAUUACUGGGCGUAAAGCGUGCGCAGGCGGUUAUGCAAGACAGAUGUGAAAUCCCCGGGCUCAACCUGGGAACUGCAUUUGUGACUGCAUAGCUAGAGUGCGGCAGAGGGGGAUGGAAUUCCGCGUGUAGCAGUGAAAUGCGUAGAUAUGCGGAGGAACACCGAUGGCGAAGGCAAUCCCCUGGGCCUGCACUGACGCUCAUGCACGAAAGCGUGGGGAGCAAACAGGAUUAGAUACCCUGGUAGUCCACGCCCUAAGCGAUGUCAACUGGUUGUUGGGAAGGUUCCUUCUCAGUAACGUAGCUAACGCGUGAAGUUGACCGCCUGGGGAGUACGGCCGCAAGGUUG